UACGUAGGGGGCAAGCGUUGUCCGGAAUCAUUGGGCGUAAAGAGCGUGUAGGCGGCUCGAUAAGUCCGCUCUGAAAGCCCGGGGCUCAACCCCGGGAGGCGGGCGGAUACUGUCGGGCUAGAGCCCGGAAGAGGCGAGUGGAAUUCCUGGUGUAGCGGUGAAAUGCGCAGAUAUCAGGAAGAACACCCGUGGCGAAGGCGGCUCUCUGGAACGCAACUGACGCUGAGACGCGAAAGCGUGGGGAGCAAACAGG
This 253-nucleotide ribosomal RNA is filed under the name uncultured bacterium. RNAcentral's name for it is "partial 16S ribosomal RNA". It matches the Rfam family "Bacterial small subunit ribosomal RNA", at positions 524 to 776 of the family's 1533-position model. The record is from RNAcentral.